UGGGGAAUAUUGCACAAUGGGCGCAAGCCUGAUGCAGCGACGCCGCGUGAGGGAUGGAGGUCUUCGGUUUGUAAACCUCUUUCGCCAGUGAAGCAGGCCAUCUUCUUUGUGGGGUGGUUGACGGUAGCUGGAUAAGAAGCGCCGGCUAACUACGUGCCAGCAGCCGCGGUAAUACGUAGGGCGCGAGCGUUGUCCGGAAUUAUUGGGCGUAAAGAGCUCGUAGGCGGCUGGUCGCGUCUGUCGUGAAAUCCCCUGGCUUAACUGGGGGCUUGCAGUGGGUACGAGCCGGCUUGAGUGCGGUAGGGGAGACUGGAAUUCCUGGUGUAGCGGUGGAAUGCGCAGAUAUCAGGAGGAACACCGGUGGCGAAGGCGGGUCUCUGGGCCGUUACUGACGCUGAGGAGCGAAAGCGUGGGGAGCGAACAGG
Molecule: ribosomal RNA, 425 nt
Filed under: bacterium
Lineage: Bacteria
Description: partial 16S ribosomal RNA
Rfam family: Bacterial small subunit ribosomal RNA
Source: RNAcentral